CUUCUAAUGUGGGCAGACACCUGAAGCCUUCUCAUGAGUGCCAGAAUGAGGUUCCCAUGCUUCUGCUUUCCUGGGAAUCGUUUGUGAGAUUUUGCAGUUGCAAAAAUAUUCUUAUUCUUAAAGGUGUUCACAAGCCUGACAAGUGCCUAAUACAGUGGUUCCCAAGGAAGUUCUCUAAUGCACAACAUGGCCAUGAGUUUCCCCUUUAUUUCCAUCAGGCUUGUGGAUCAAGCCUUGUUACAGGCACGGGGUGGUACCUGAAUUUCUACCCUGCAGUUUCCAAAGUGUUCAGGUGUCCCAACCUGAAGAUUGGAGAAGCAGAUAUCUUGUUCCAGAUGUGUCAUGAAAGACUAAACACAGAAGAAUGUCAGAACAGCCACCAUUGCCAGAUUCUGCUUCAUGUUAGGAUAUAAAGAUUGGAAAGCUGUCCUGCUCUAAAAUGUCUUUAAUCUUGUUAUAAUUACAUGUCAGAUUAAGGGGAUUAAGAAGGAGGGAAAUCAAUCUUCCACUACAACGGCAUCUCAACUUGGAAAACACAAAAACAUGGGCCUGUGGGCCUGCACACUUGGCACUUGAGUGAGGUUGCUCACAUCUUUGAGUGCAAGCAGAGGUAUGGUGACAGGAUGAAGGACUGUGAAUUGGCCUUGACUGGGAGUUCAAGCUGACUGAAAACAAUGACCUUUCAACAACAAUAAAGAUAUAUCUACAUGUAUAGCUUGUUUAGUAUAGUGCAUGUU
Molecule: long non-coding RNA, 737 nt
Organism: Passer domesticus (house sparrow)
Lineage: Eukaryota; Metazoa; Chordata; Aves; Passeriformes; Passeridae
Exons: 4
Source: RefSeq, a predicted model, not a curated record